Molecule: ribosomal RNA, 454 nt
Filed under: uncultured bacterium
Lineage: Bacteria
Description: bacterial SSU rRNA
Rfam family: Bacterial small subunit ribosomal RNA
Source: RNAcentral
UACGGAAGGCAGCAGUGGGGAAUAUUGCACAAUGGGCGCAAGCCUGAUGCAGCCAUGCCGCGUGUAUGAAGAAGGCCUUCGGGUUGUAAAGUACUUUCAGUCGUGAGGAAGGUGUUAAGGUUAAUAACCUUAGCAAUUGACGUUAGCGACAGAAGAAGCACCGGCUAACCUCCGUGCCAGCAGCCGCGGUAAUACGGAGGGUGCGAGCGUUAAUCGGAAUUACUGGGCGUAAAGGGCACGCAGGCGGUUAAUUAAGUUGGAUGUGAAAUCCCCGGGCUUAACCUGGGAAUGGCAUUCAAGACUGGUUAGCUAGAGUCUUGUAGAGGGGGUAGAAUUCCAUGUGUAGCGGUGAAAUGCGUAGAGAUGUGGAGGAAUACCGGUGGCGAAGGCGGCCCCUGGACAAAGACUGACGCUCAUGUGCGAAAGCGUGGGGAGCAAACAGGGAUUAGAUACC